UACCGUUUGAUCAUGGCUCAGAUUGAACGCUGGCGGCAUGCCUUACACAUGCAAGUCGAACGGCAGCACGGGAGCUUGNNNCUGGUGGCGAGUGGCGAACGGGUGAGUAAUACAUCGGAACGUACCCAGGAGUGGGGGAUAACGUAGCGAAAGUUACGCUAAUGCCGCAUAUUCUGUGAGCAGGAAAGCGGGGGAUCGCAAGACCUCGCGCUCUUGGAGCGGCCGAUGUCGGAUUAGCUAGUUGGUGAGGUAAAAGCUCACCAAGGCGACGAUCCGUAGCAGGUCUGAGAGGAUGAUCUGCCACACUGGGACUGAGACACGGCCCAGACUCCUACGGGAGGCAGCAGUGGGGAAUUUUGGACAAUGGGGGCAACCCUGAUCCAGCCAUGCCGCGUGAGUGAAGAAGGCCUUCGGGUUGUAAAGCUCUUUCGGCGGGGAAGAAAUGGCAACGGCUAAUAUCCGUUGUUGAUGACGGUACCCGCAUAAGAAGCACCGGCUAACUACGUGCCAGCAGCCGCGGUAAUACGUAGGGUGCGAGCGUUAAUCGGAAUUACUGGGCGUAAAGCGUGCGCAGGCGGUUUCGUAAGACAGACGUGAAAUCCCCGGGCUCAACCUGGGAACUGCGUUUGUGACUGCGAGGCUAGAGUACGGCAGAGGGGGGUAGAAUUCCACGUGUAGCAGUGAAAUGCGUAGAGAUGUGGAGGAAUACCGAUGGCGAAGGCAGCCCCCCNNNGUUAGUACUGACGCUCAUG
RNAcentral lists this ribosomal RNA (752 nucleotides) under uncultured Azospira sp. RNAcentral's name for it is "bacterial SSU rRNA". It matches the Rfam family "Bacterial small subunit ribosomal RNA", at positions 1 to 751 of the family's 1533-position model. The record is from RNAcentral. Lineage: Bacteria; Pseudomonadati; Pseudomonadota; Betaproteobacteria; Rhodocyclales; Rhodocyclaceae.